UUAAGCGACUAAGCGUACACGGUGGAUGCCCUGGCAGUCAGAGGCGAUGAAGGACGUGCUAAUCUGCGAAAAGCGUCGGUAAGGUGAUAUGAACCGUUAUAACCGGCGAUGUCCGAAUGGGGAAACCCAGUGCAAUUCGUUGCACUAUCGUUAACUGAAUACAUAGGUUAACGAGGCGAACCGGGGGAACUGAAACAUCUAAGUACCCCGAGGAAAAGAAAUCAACCGAGAUUCCCCCAGUAGCGGCGAGCGAACGGGGAGCAGCCCAGAGUCUGAAUCAGCUUGUGUGUUAGUGGAACGGUCUGGAAAGUCCGACGGUACAGGGUGAUAGUCCCGUACACCAAAAUGCACAGGCUGUGAACUCGAAGAGUAGGGCGGGACACGUGGUAUCCUGUCUGAAUAUGGGGGGACCAUCCUCCAAGGCUAAAUACUCCUGACUGACCGAUAGUGAACCAGUACCGUGAGGGAAAGGCGAAAAGAACCCCGGCGAGGGGAGUGAAAAAGAACCUGAAACCGUGUACGUACAAGCAGUGGGAGCACCUUCGGGUGUGACUGCGUACCUUUUGUAUAAUGGGUCAGCGACUUAUAUUCUGUAGCAAGGUUAACCGUAUAGGGGAGCCGCAGGGAAACCGAGUCUUAACUGGGCGUUAAGUUGCAGGGUAUAGACCCGAAACCCGGUGAUCUAGCCAUGGGCAGGUUGAAGGUUGGGUAACACUAACUGGAGGACCGAACCGACUAAUGUUGAAAAAUUAGCGGAUGACUUGUGGCUGGGGGUGAAAGGCCAAUCAAACCGGGAGAUAGCUGGUUCUCCCCGAAAGCUAUUUAGGUAGCGCCUCGUGAACUCAUCUUCGGGGGUAGAGCACUGUUUCGGCUAGGGGGUCAUCCCGACUUACCAACCCGAUGCAAACUACGAAUACCGAAGAAUGUUAUCACGGGAGACACACGGCGGGUGCUAACGUCCGUCGUGAAGAGGGAAACAACCCAGACCGCCAGCUAAGGUCCCAAAGUCAUGGUUAAGUGGGAAACGAUGUGGGAAGGCACAGACAGCCAGGAUGUUGGCUUAGAAGCAGCCAUCAUUUAAAGAAAGCGUAAUAGCUCACUGGUCGAGUCGGCCUGCGCGGAAGAUGUAACGGGGCUAAACCAUGCACCGAAGCUGCGGCAGCGACACGAUGUGUUGUUGGGUAGGGGAGCGUUCUGUAAGCCUGCGAAGGUGACCUGUGAGGGUUGCUGGAGGUAUCAGAAGUGCGAAUGCUGACAUAAGUAACGAUAAAGCGGGUGAAAAGCCCGCUCGCCGGAAGACCAAGGGUUCCUGUCCAACGUUAAUCGGGGCAGGGUGAGUCGACCCCUAAGGCGAGGCCGAAAGGCGUAGUCGAUGGGAAACAGGUUAAUAUUCCUGUACUUGGUGUUACUGCGAAGGGGGGACGGAGAAGGCUAUGUUAGCCGGGCGACGGUUGUCCCGGUUUAAGCAUGUAGGCUGGUUAUCCAGGCAAAUCCGGAUAAUCAAGGCUGAGGUGUGAUGACGAGGCACUACGGUGCUGAAGUAACAAAUGCCCUGCUUCCAGGAAAAGCCUCUAAGCAUCAGGUAACAUCAAAUCGUACCCCAAACCGACACAGGUGGUCAGGUAGAGAAUACCAAGGCGCUUGAGAGAACUCGGGUGAAGGAACUAGGCAAAAUGGUGCCGUAACUUCGGGAGAAGGCACGCUGGUGUGUAGGUGAAGUCCCUGCGGAUGGAGCUGAGACCAGUCGAAGAUACCAGCUGGCUGCAACUGUUUAUUAAAAACACAGCACUGUGCAAACACGAAAGUGGACGUAUACGGUGUGACGCCUGCCCGGUGCCGGAAGGUUAAUUGAUGGGGUUAUCCGUAAGGAGAAGCUCUUGAUCGAAGCCCCGGUAAACGGCGGCCGUAACUAUAACGGUCCUAAGGUAGCGAAAUUCCUUGUCGGGUAAGUUCCGACCUGCACGAAUGGCGUAAUGAUGGCCAGGCUGUCUCCACCCGAGACUCAGUGAAAUUGAACUCGCUGUGAAGAUGCAGUGUACCCGCGGCAAGACGGAAAGACCCCGUGAACCUUUACUAUAGCUUGACACUGAACAUUGAGCCUUGAUGUGUAGGAUAGGUGGGAGGCUUUGAAGCGUGGACGCCAGUCUGCGUGGAGCCAACCUUGAAAUACCACCCUUUAAUGUUUGAUGUUCUAACGUGGGCCCCUAAUCGGGGUUGCGGACAGUGUCUGGUGGGUAGUUUGACUGGGGCGGUCUCCUCCCAAAGCGUAACGGAGGAGCACGAAGGUUAGCUAAUCCUGGUCGGACAUCAGGAGGUUAGUGCAAUGGCAUAAGCUAGCUUGACUGCGAGCGUGACGGCGCGAGCAGGUGCGAAAGCAGGUCAUAGUGAUCCGGUGGUUCUGAAUGGAAGGGCCAUCGCUCAACGGAUAAAAGGUACUCCGGGGAUAACAGGCUGAUACCGCCCAAGAGUUCAUAUCGACGGCGGUGUUUGGCACCUCGAUGUCGGCUCAUCACAUCCUGGGGCUGAAGUAGGUCCCAAGGGUAUGGCUGUUCGCCAUUUAAAGUGGUACGCGAGCUGGGUUUAGAACGUCGUGAGACAGUUCGGUCCCUAUCUGCCGUGGGCGCUGGAGAAUUGAGGGGGGCUGCUCCUAGUACGAGAGGACCGGAGUGGACGCAUCACUGGUGUUCGGGUUGUCAUGCCAAUGGCACUGCCCGGUAGCUAAAUGCGGAAGAGAUAAGUGCUGAAAGCAUCUAAGCACGAAACUUGCCCCGAGAUGAGUUCUCCCU
RNAcentral lists this ribosomal RNA (2786 nucleotides) under Klebsiella quasipneumoniae subsp. quasipneumoniae. RNAcentral's name for it is "23S ribosomal RNA". It matches the Rfam family "Bacterial large subunit ribosomal RNA". The record is from RNAcentral. Lineage: Bacteria; Pseudomonadati; Pseudomonadota; Gammaproteobacteria; Enterobacterales; Enterobacteriaceae.